RNAcentral lists this ribosomal RNA (819 nucleotides) under Trechispora thailandica. RNAcentral describes it as "Trechispora sp. SLL-2022o partial large subunit ribosomal RNA". It matches the Rfam family "Eukaryotic large subunit ribosomal RNA", at positions 77 to 915 of the family's 3401-position model. The record is from RNAcentral. Lineage: Eukaryota; Fungi; Basidiomycota; Agaricomycetes; Trechisporales; Hydnodontaceae.
CCCCUAGUAACUGCGAGUGAAGCGGGAAAAGCUCAAAUUUGAAAUCUGGCGGCUCCGUCGCCCGAGUUGUAUUCUGGAGAAGCGUCUUCCGCGCCGGACCGUGUACAAGUCCCUUGGAACAGGGCGUCAUAGAGGGUGAGAAUCCCGUCUUUGGCACGGACUCCCGGUGCUCUGCGAUGCGCUCUCGAAGAGUCGAGUUGUUUGGGAAUGCAGCUCAAAAUGGGUGGUAAAUUCCAUCUAAAGCUAAAUAUUGGCGAGAGACCGAUAGCGAACAAGUACCGUGAGGGAAAGAUGAAAAGCACUUUGGAAAGAGAGUAAAACAGUACGUGAAAUUGUUGAAAGGGAAACGCUUGAAGUCAGUCGCGUCUUCUGGAACUCAGCCUUGCUUCUGCUCGGUGCACUUUCCAGUUCGACGGGCCAGCAUCGGUUUCGGGCGGUGGACACUGGCGAGGGGAAGGUGGCAGCUCCGGCUGCGUUAUAGCCCCUCGUCGCAAACUCCGCCUGGGACCGAGGAAUCCGGCGCGAGCCUGGGAUGCUGGCGUAAUGGCUUUAAACGACCCGUCUUGAAACACGGACCAAGGAGUGCUACACGCUCGCGAGUGUUUGGGUGGCAAACCCGAGCGCGCAAUGAAAGUGAAAGUCGAUACCCCUCGCGGGGGCACCGACGCCCGAGCCCGAUGUUCUCGGAGGGCCUUGCGGUAGAGCGAGUGCGUUGCGACCCGAAAGAUGGUGAACUAUUCCUGAGGAGGGCGAAGCCAGAGGAAACUCUGGUGGAGGCUCGUAGCGGUUCUGACGUGCAAAUCGAUCGCAGGACUUGGG